CAAAUGCUUGCAUUGUAUUUUCCACCAACAGAGGGCGCUUAUCACCAUUUUGCUUCUGUAAUGAAAAUUUCAAUCUAGGUCAAACAAAGGGAGAGGCAAGGCAAUGAAAGAGCAUACACUUUAGGAAGGCUGACAUAGUCAUCCAGCAUGGCUUGGAUGUUUUCAAAAAUAGUAAUAAACAGAGCCUAGCUGCUAUUCUCUCUUUCGGCAGCUGCAAGUGAUCAUCCAGGUGGGGAAAUUUUAGGUGAGCUGUUCUGACAGCACAGGCUUACUGUAAAGAAAAUGGAAGAUACUCACAAGAGAGCGAGAUCAAAGGGAGGUACCAUGAGGAUUCCAAACAGCAGUCAAACCAGUGAUUGAUGGUGGCCUAGAUUUUGCCUUGUUUGCAUCCACUGUUUUUGAAAGGUGUGCAAGUUGAUGUCAUGACCCUCCUCUAUUGAAGGAAAUGCUACUGAAGAUAUCAAAACAUUUUCAACUGCUUAGUAAACCACACAAAUGAAGCAUCAGGUUAAACAGAUUGUGUUGCCCUUGGUCAUCUCUCUCAGAGAAUUCAAAAAUACCCGUGUGCUACCCACAGACAUUUUGCUGUUAUGGUCUUUUAUGAAGGCCAUAGUAAAAAGGGGGAAAGACCAUACAUUUGUUUAAAGAAAACUAAAUGACAAAAAAUAAAAUAAAAGUUCAUUACGGUACAACUCUUCUAAACUAGAAAGAGCAAGAAAAAUCAUGUCCGGCUCUGACAAAUAAUCAUGAAAGUUGUACAAUAAAAUAAAUAUUUUUGCUGCAAA
Long non-coding RNA from Hemicordylus capensis (graceful crag lizard), 785 nucleotides. RefSeq lists it as uncharacterized. The transcript is spliced from 2 exons. NCBI's taxonomy places the organism in Eukaryota, Metazoa, Chordata, Lepidosauria, Squamata, Cordylidae. The record is from RefSeq and is a predicted model, not a curated record.